CAACAAAAGACUGAUGUUUUGAGCCAAAACUAAAACAUUUCUCAUGCAACAAAGUUUUUAUUGUAGUAGUGGAUGAACGACUGUGAAGAGCCAUAGAAUUUUUUUUUCUAAGGAUAAGCUUCGAUGACGGAUUGAACUGCAUGUGUAGGUUUAACGUUGAAUCGUGUAAAACCAGAUUGUCGAAGAACAGAGCUCCAUUCCUUUAAGGUCCUCUCUUUCCCUUUAUUUGUAAUAGCCAUCAGCGCCGUGUCUAGCAUCAACCCUACGCCACCUAGCUCGUCGCCUUCUUUAUCUUCUUCAAGAACUGCUUCAACGAUUAUAACCUUCCCUUUAUCUUCUGGAAUGGCUUCUCGACAUUUUUUUAGGAUUUUAAUGCAUUCCUCGUCGUCCCAAUCAUGCAAUAUCCACUGCAAUUUGCAAUGUAUAGAUUAAUCGUAUAAGACCAUAUAAUGAAGGGAAAAAAAAGUACUAACCAUUAAAAAGGCUGCGUCGACGUUUGGGAUAGACAUGAACAUGUCGCCUCCUAUGUUUUGAUGCUACCGGACUUUGGUGCAACGGCAACGACAUGAGGGAGAUCAAAGUUGAUGCCUCGAAUCCAUGGGAAUGCCUUAACUAAAAGGCUCAAAGCAGUCCCAUUACCACCAUGAAACAACUUUGGACGUCACGAAUCUGAAAACCAAAAUUCGAACAAUUUUUUUCUCUGAUCUCCGACAUUGGUUGUUAGAUCGACUUAGAUCUAAGAUAUGUUCUGCUACUCGUCAAUGGGUAUUGAUCCACCAUAUCGAUCGUUGAAUCGUUACUUGGAGCUUGCUGGCAGAACUUAAAAAAAAAUUUAACAGCCUAUUGACUUAAAUAAAAACUUUUAAAUAGUUCAGUGACUUAAAUGAAAACUUUCAAAUAGUUCAGUGACCGGAUUGUAACCCUUUUUUAGUUAAGUGACCAAAAUGAAAAGCUACCCAUAGUUUAGUGACUAAUAGUAUAGCUUACCCUACUUUAAUUUGGUCAAUUUUAGUACUUUUUUUUUAAUUUUGAACUUCAGAUUGAAUUGCAAACUAUAGAAGUUAAAUUCAUUAUGUCAAAUUCUGCUAUUAGUUUUGUACUAUACGUAAGUUUCGGAUUUGGUCUCAAUUCUCCAAUUUGAUCAUUUUAAUCAUUAUACCUUUCUUAUUUUGAAAUUCUAAUCAUGGUUCAUAUUGUAGUUGACAAAACACUACACACAUGAUAAUAUGUUUGUCGUAUAGAAAUUUGGAAAUGUCAAAAUUUAACAACUGAAAUUUUAAAAUUUAAAAAGUACAAGGACUUAAAAUGAUCAAAUUAGAGUACAAAAGCUAAUUUUACAAGUUACAUAUAUUAUAGGGACUAAUAGUGGAUUUUGAUCAAAAUCAUGUUUUUAACAAAAAGGACAACUUUCUGAAUUUAAAAGGUUACAAUGUGAAGUUAGUUCUGUAUUUUGAUAAAAUUUGAGAAUUAGUCUUGUAAUUGAAAAUUUAACAAAUUAAGUCCUCCUAAUUUUAUAAUUUGAAAUUCACAAUCUAAUUAUUAACAUUGUUAGUAUUUUUUGUCAAAAUUUGUCAACUUGGCAUAUUAGACUACCCUAAUAUGACGUGGUAUAUGAUUGACAAAAAAUAUAUAUAUUAAAUUGAAAAAUUCUAACAUAGGUUACCAACAAUGAUAAUGAUUGGACUUAUAUUUCUAAAUUGGAAAAAAAAUAGUUGGAUUGAAUUUUUAACUUUUAAAGUAGAGGGACUAAAUAUCAUAUUCUGCAAAGUACAAGGACUAAUAUCAUAUUUUAACGAAUUAUUAAGUAAAUUUGGCCCAACCCAAAAGCCCAUCUGAUUACGACCCUUUCUACUUCUACCAUUGUACAUAAGGCUAUUUAACAGUGUUUCUGCUAAUAUUCCAUCACUUUCUCGGGAAAAUCAACGAUGGCAGAUUGGACCCAACUCCCCAAGGAACUACUAGAACUUAUUUCCAAACGCCUAGGAACCCACUAUGACGUCAUCCGUUUCCGUUCCGUUUGCUCCACCUGGCGCUCCGCCGUUACUGCCCCCAACCGCUGCCGCAACCGCUUCGCUCCCCGUUUCCCGCUUCUCCCUAUUUCCUCCCAAUUCUCCCUCUCAAAGCGCUCCGUAUUCCUCCUCGGAUCACCCACAACUAGUACCCAAACAAACGCUUCUAGCCCCUCCUCGUGGGUAAUCAAAAUCGAAGAAGAUCCGAUGAACGGCAGAGUCCAGCUUUUGAACCCUCUCUCAAGGUCUCGUUUCGAUUCUCUCCCUGAUAAUUUCCCCAAACCUUUAAAUUUGUUGGAUUUUAGGGUUCUUGAAUUGGGUGAAGAGUAUGUGCUUCAUUAUUUAACUCAUCACAGUGUGGGCAACUUGUACAUGGAAAAAGUUGUCCUAUCUUGUUUAGAUGAUAAUGUUAACGAUUUCAUUAUACUUACAAUUCAUGUUUCUGGGAAAUUAGCAAUGUUUAAAUCUAGUGUUAAGAAAUGGGCUAUAAUUCAAGACAUGCCAUCUCCUUUUGACGAUGUGAUAUUAUAUAAAGGGAAUUUUUAUGCUGUUGAUAAUACUGGUAGGACUGUGGUUGUGGGAUUGGAUUUCGAGACAAAUUUGAUUGCUAUGCCUGUUUUUGGUGGUGAUAAGAAGUUUUUGGUUGAUUCAAAGGGUGAGUUAUUGUUGAUUGAUAUGUAUUUGAGCAUUGAAUCUGAGCCAGGUUUGUCUUCUUCUUCUGCCGGUUUCGGGUUCGUCGAGGAGUAUUUUGAAAACCUUGCUGUGUAUAUGAACGAGAGGACGGUUAAGUUUAAGGUUUUUAAGUUGGAUGACGUUGAUAAGCAGUGGGUUGAAGCUAAGGAUUUGGACGAUCGCGUGUUGUUUUUAGGUGAUGGUUGCACCUUUUCUGCUUCAAUAGAAGAUUUAUCCGUGUGUAGAGGGAAUUGCAUAAUCUAUGUGGAUAAUUUCUUUCAUUCGCUCGGGGAAGAAGAUGGGGCGUCGGAGCAUUGUGAUGUAGGCGUAUUCGAUUUGGAAAGCGGUUCUAUAGGACCAUUAACAAAGGUUCCUCAAUCUUCCGAGCUAUUCUGGCCACCACCUCAUUGGAUUUCAUCCACAGCAGCAUCGGAUGUAAGUAUUUUUGUUUUGCAGUGUUGAACUUUGGGUCGAGUUUUUAUUUAUAUAUAGUUCUGUAUACUAUUGCAAUAGCCAUGAAGAUCUUUAAGUAUCAGAAUCCCUAAGUAGAAUCACGUAAAAAACUGGUGAAACUCCCCGGAAAGCUUUUUGAGUCGUGUUUAUGCUUAAUGGUAUAGGCAUGCUAGCUUCAAACUAUGUCUUGAAAUGCCAUGCAUCUAAUGUUAACUUACUGAAAAUGCCAAAGAGAAGUCUAAAUCGAAUGCGGAUCUCUUUCAUAUGCCGGGUUAAGGGGCGUUACAAAUGCUUUCAAAACAAUUGGGAAAAUCCCAUUGCCAAAUUUGAUGUGAAAAUGGCAAUAUCCCUUAUUUUCUUGGUAAAUUACACCAGCAGUCAUCCAACUAUUAAUAUAUUUUUUUGGUUAUUUAAUUAUGAAAAGUUAUGAAAUGAUCACACAAUAAUUAGUAAAUUUCUUUUUCGGUCACCCAACUAUGAUAAGUUACGAAAUGGUAUCCAACUAUUUAAUUUUAUCUUUUUUGUCGCCGGCUGGCUAACUUGACAACUUUUAAAAUUAGCUCAAUAGUAACUUUAACCGUUAAUAUUUAUCUAUUAUGUCAAUUUAGUUUUGAUUCUAAAAAAAAAAACUUAACGCUUAACAUUUACACAUGGUGUAAUUCGAACUUCUUCUUCUUCUUCUCUUCUUUUUUUUUUUUUAAAAUUUUGUGUUUUUUUAUAAUAUUGAGAGUUAAUUUUAAAAGAAAGAAAAAUGAUAAAAGUUAUUAUUUAGAGUUUUUGGGUGUUUUCAUUUUUUUGUUUAUUUUCAAUCAAAUUUAGCUAAUAAAUUAGACUUUUAGCUUUUUAGGUAAAAAGAUUACAAAGAACAAGAAAAUUGCAAAAAAAAAAAAUCUAAAUAUUGAGGGUUAGAUUUUUUAGAAUCAAGACUAAUUUGAAACAAUGUUAAAUGUUAAAGUUGCUAUUAUGCCAAUUUUAAAAGCUACAAAAAAAAUGAUAAAAUUUAAUAAUUAAAUAAUUAUUUUAUAACUUUAUAUAAUUGGGUAAUCAAAAUAAAAUUUAUUAAUAUUUAAGUGGAUAUUAAUUAAUUUAUUUAUUUUUCAGUUCUAUAAACAAACAAUUCGUGGAUGGAAUUUAAUCUCUCUCCACAAAAUCAGAGACGGGUUCUUUCUUUUUUUGGACAAUGGUUACCCAAAAUAGCGAAAAAUUGUCACAUAAAUGUUCUAUAUAAUUAGUGCCUCCACUAAACAGCUCAUCAUUUCAUAUUUAUCUAAAAUUGUGUUAUAGAUAUUUAUAGGGCAUCUUAGAUGGAUUAACGCUUCUUUUGAAAAGGAGUUAUGAUUUUGUAAUAAUCCAAAUUGAUAGUAUGGAAACAGUUCAAGUUAUUAAAGACGAGGCUUGUAAGGACUGGGGCUCAACUUUAAUAAGAAGAAAUCAUCAAUUUUUGCCUAGUAUUAGACAUUGGGACAUUUGUCACAUUUCAAAGGAAAAUAAUGGAGAAGCCGAUGAAAUUGCUAAACUAGUUCAAGAAAGGAGAGAAGGUCUUCAAGUGUUUGAAGUGUCCCCAUUAGAGAGUUAGUUUUAUUUUAUCGUAAUUUUUAGGUUUUGUAUUUUCACUAAAUUUCUUUUAAGAAAAUAGAAAAUAAUAAUUUUUGAAAACCCAAAGUACAAUUUGUGAUUUCAUCCAUAAUGUUUAUUAAUAUCUAUCAAAUUAUUUGUCCUAAUCAUCUGAAAUUUAGGCUUAGUUUGGAUUGGUGAUAUGUUUAACUGUAGUUAGUGUAAAAACAACGGUGGCGGUGACAUUAAAUACUAUAGCGACACUGUAGUGUGAGACAAAAAAUAAAUUAAAAUCACUGCACCUAAUUACCCAUCGAAACCCACCUUAAUUAGUUACAAUCUAAAAUGAAAUAUAUAUUAAUAUACUAAUAUAUUAUAUCGGUGUUUUGUUCAGUUUUAUUACGGUUUAAAUUCAAAUAUAUUUCAAAUUUCAAUCUAUUAUAUUUUAUAUUGAGUUAUUCUAAUUUUAAUUUUAAUUUUAUUAUUUGUAACUUAUACUAAGUUUUUUUUUUAAAAGUAACUGAUACUAUAUUUGUACUCGUAAAUUCUUUCGAAAAUAAAUUAUGAUAAAUUAUAACCGCACAAAUCAUGUUUUAAUAGAGCGCGUUACAAACUGAAAUCCUUUGAAUUUUUUUGAAAAAGUUUACAAGUAGAAUAUAGUAAAUCAAGUAGGACUACUAAAGUUAAAUUGAAUCAAUAUAAAUUAAAAUUAAAAUUCACACAGCUUUAGUAUACAGGACUCAAAAUCUCGACUUUUUACCAACAAUGCCAAACCUCUUAUCUGACAUGUAUUUUAAUUAUUUUUCACAAUCAAUCUAAAACUAUUCCAGAGGCAGAAUUAAAAGGAUUAAUUGAUAUAUGGAUUCCAACAGUGAUUUUAAAGAAAGCCACUCAAAACCAAGAUUUAUUGAUUCCAACAAAAGACUGAUGUUUUUAGCCAAAACUAAAACAUUUCUCAUGCAACAGAGUUUUUAUUGUAGUAGUGGAUGAACAACUGUGAAGAGCCACAGAAUUUUUUUUUUCUAAGGAUAAGCUUCGAUGACGGAUCGAACUGCACGUAUAGGUUUAACGUUGAAUCGUGUAAAACCAGAUUGUCGAAGAACAUAACUCCAUUCCUUUAAGGUCCUCUCUUUCCCUUUAUUUGUAAUAGCCAUCAGCGCCGUGUCUAGCAUCAACCCUACGGCACCUAUCUCGUCGUCUUCUUUAUCUUCUUCAAGAACUGCUUCAACGAUUACAACCUUCCCUUUAUCUUCUGGAAUGG
This 5949-nucleotide long non-coding RNA is filed under the name Gossypium barbadense (sea-island cotton). RNAcentral's name for it is "long non-coding RNA (GBAR_LNC015846)". Lineage: Eukaryota; Viridiplantae; Streptophyta; Magnoliopsida; Malvales; Malvaceae. The record is from RNAcentral.